CAGCUAGCCAGUGAUGGCAUGCGAAUCUCGAAAGCCUAUCUCAGUUCGGAUUGGAGGCUGAAACCCGCCUCCAUGAAGUUGGAUUCGCUAGUAAUCGCGCAUCAGCCAUGGCGCGGUGAAUACGUUCCCGGGCCUUGUACACACCGCCCGUCAAGCCAUGGGAGCCGGGGGUGCCUGAAGUUCGUUACCGCAAGGAUCGACCUAGGGCAAAACUGGUGACUGGGGCUAAGUCGUAACAAGGUACC
RNAcentral lists this ribosomal RNA (245 nucleotides) under uncultured bacterium. RNAcentral's name for it is "partial 16S ribosomal RNA". It matches the Rfam family "Bacterial small subunit ribosomal RNA", at positions 1247 to 1500 of the family's 1533-position model. The record is from RNAcentral.